UUUUUACUUCUAGAGUUUGUUUCAAUAUUUUGGCAUGUUCUUUCUAGUUACUUGAGUAUCAAUUACUUGAUUUUCUCCGUGUGUGAUAUGUGAAACUUGCAGUGCAAUAGCUUGUUGCACUCAUGUGAUCAAGAGGCAAAGGAAGGGAACGCACACUUUUUGACCGUGUUCUUUGGUUCGACCCAACCGAGAGGUAUUGAGCCAAACACUCAUUUUUUUUUCUUCUAUGUGUGAUAUCCACUCAUGUAUUGUCUCUCGAUUUUGCUUGUCGUCUUUGUAUUUGAUUGGUACUUUUGUAGCACACACGAGGCAUGUUU
RNAcentral lists this long non-coding RNA (317 nucleotides) under Trifolium pratense (red clover). RNAcentral's name for it is "long non-coding RNA (TPRA_LNC008607)". Lineage: Eukaryota; Viridiplantae; Streptophyta; Magnoliopsida; Fabales; Fabaceae. The record is from RNAcentral.